Molecule: non-coding RNA, 92 nt
Organism: Ilyonectria sp. MPI-CAGE-AT-0026
Lineage: Eukaryota; Fungi; Ascomycota; Sordariomycetes; Hypocreales; Nectriaceae
Source: the annotation of a GenBank genome assembly
GGCCGCGUGGCCUAAUGGCUAAGGCGCUAGAUUUCGGUUCACCGAUUUCACCAAUUCUCUAGAGAUUCCAGGUUCGACUCCUGGCGUGGUCG